Molecule: small nuclear RNA, 103 nt
Filed under: Mus caroli (Ryukyu mouse)
Lineage: Eukaryota; Metazoa; Chordata; Mammalia; Rodentia; Muridae
Source: RNAcentral
ACAUUCACUUCAGCAACAAACAUACUAGGAUUGGGACAACACAGAGAUUAGAAUGGCCCCUGCUCAAGAUGGCACACAAGUUUGUGAAGCAUUCCACAUCAUA